UAGGGACCAGGCCCGGGGAGCCUUGCCCAGCUCCUCCCUGGGUUUAGCGCCCAGGCCGAUGGGUUCGGGGGCCGAAACCCGCAUAUCGACUCACGCACUAGGCCAGGGGACGUCGGUACCUCAAUGAAGACCGGUCUCCUGGGGCGUCCAUGCCGUAGUCGAUCAGCCGUAGGGCUGGUUGGCUACGGAACCCGGCGAACCGGGUUAGGCCCGGGAGGGAGCGGCCCUAAGUCGGGGUGGACGCGUUCAGGGGGGUUGCCGGUUAGAGAAUGGGCCGGUGAAACCCCUGGUCUAGCGUGUGGGUUGAUAUGCGGGGUUGGGUCCCGU
Molecule: signal recognition particle RNA, 327 nt
Filed under: Vulcanisaeta sp. AZ3
Lineage: Archaea; Thermoproteati; Thermoproteota; Thermoprotei; Thermoproteales; Thermoproteaceae
Description: signal recognition particle sRNA
Rfam family: Archaeal signal recognition particle RNA
Source: RNAcentral